RNAcentral lists this ribosomal RNA (497 nucleotides) under uncultured bacterium. RNAcentral describes it as "partial 16S ribosomal RNA". It matches the Rfam family "Bacterial small subunit ribosomal RNA", at positions 28 to 507 of the family's 1533-position model. The record is from RNAcentral.
GAUGAACGCUGGCGGCGUGCUUAAUACAUGCAAGUCGAGCGAAAAGACGAGGAGUUUGUUCCUCGGCCGUUAGGGGCGGCCGGGUGAUUAACACGUGGAUAACCUACUUUAAAGCCUGGGAUAACUUGGGAAACCGGGAUCUAAUCCGGGAAAAUAUAUUGAACCCCAGUGUUCAUUGGUAAAAGUCGGUUUUUUUGUACCUAAUAGAUGGUUCCCGGCCGAUUUGGCUGGUUGGUAAGUUAACGGCUUACCAAGGCAAGCAUCCGUAGCCGACCUGAUAGGGGGAUCGGCCACACGGGAACUGAGACAAGGUCCAGACUCCUACGGGAGGCAGCAGUAGGGAAUAUUCCGCAAUGGGCGAAAGCUUGACGGAGCAACGCCGCGUGAGUGAUGAAGGUCUUCGGAUCGUAAAACUCUGUUAUUAGGGAAGAACAAAUGUGUAAGUAAAUAUGCACGUAUUGACGGUACCUAAUCAGAAAGCCACGGCUAACUACGUG